GACGAACGCUGGCGGCGUGCUUAACACAUGCAAGUCGAACGGUAAGGCCCUUCGGGGUACACGAGUGGCGAACGGGUGAGUAACACGUGGGUGAUCUGCCCUGCACUUCGGGAUAAGCCUGGGAAACUGGGUCUAAUACCGGAUAGGACUCCGGACUGCAUGGUCUGGGGUGGAAAGCUUUUGCGGUGUGGGAUGGGCCCGCGGCCUAUCAGCUUGUUGGUGGGGUGAUGGCCUACCAAGGCGACGACGGGUAGCCGGCCUGAGAGGGUGACCGGCCACACUGGGACUGAGAUACGGCCCAGACUCCUACGGGAGGCAGCAGUGGGGAAUAUUGCACAAUGGGCGCAAGCCUGAUGCAGCGACGCCGCGUGAGGGAUGACGGCCUUCGGGUUGUAAACCUCUUUCAGCACAGACGAAGCGCAAGUGACGGUAUGUGCAGAAGAAGGACCGGCCAACUACGUGCCAGCCGCCGCCGUAA
Molecule: ribosomal RNA, 478 nt
Filed under: uncultured bacterium
Lineage: Bacteria
Description: partial 16S ribosomal RNA
Rfam family: Bacterial small subunit ribosomal RNA
Source: RNAcentral